GUAUGGAAGGCACCUGUGGGGAAAAGGAGAAAUUGCUUCUUUGGAGACAGCAGCUACGAAGGACACUGGCUGAGGCAACAGCAGAUGAGAAUAUGCUGUGAAGUGUUACAUUGCGACCAUAUCAGAACAGAGACUGUUAACCAAACGAGACUGUUAGAAACUGUUAAUGCAUGCACUGAAUUUAUUGUACCCCUGGUUUUACCGAGUUUUACAGCAUUUUUCUCCUCACGUUUAUCCCCUAUUUUCUCAUUGGUCAAGAUUUGCUGCAAUUCAGGUGUUUCCCUUUUUGGUCCCUGUUUAGUGCCAUGUUCCCUCCUUCCUGCCCUAAUUGGUUAUGACCUCUGUCAGUCCCGUGCUCCUCCCUCUUUCUAGAUCCUUCCCUACCUAACGUAUAAAUAGAGUGAACCACCCUUAAUAAAUGGUGCUAGUUGUUUGAAGCUAUCACUGUCCUUGAACCCCCUCAGUGGUCCUGUGGUCUUUUCCUGAUUGAUUAUGACACCCCAGUUCCUCAAACAUCCCUGUGCCCGGCAUGUACCUCGCUGGGCAGCCCCUGCCCAAAGCAGCCGGGAAGCAGGAACAGCAGCUUUCUUGAAGGAGGCCAUUAGAUUUUAUUUCUGACCUCAUUUUAUAUCCUAUGCAGGAUGGGUCUUCAUCAAUCAGAAUAGCAGCUUAGCCUUCCCUGGAUCUUGCUACUGUGACAGGGCUGCUGAAAGGUCAACAUGAGAGAUCGUGGUGAAAGGAAAGCAUGUGAAGUAGCUUUUCCCUUCUCCAGGCUACUUCAUAUAAAGACACAGACUUCUGGUUGCAGCUUCACAUAUGGAGUGGAUUAGAAGUACUGGUAAACUACAACAUCAGCAUGGGGGUUGUGUUUUAGAUACCCAAGAAAGCAAAAGGAAACACCAAAG
Corapipo altera (White-ruffed manakin) is the source of this 905-nucleotide long non-coding RNA. RefSeq lists it as uncharacterized. The record is from RefSeq and is a predicted model, not a curated record. The transcript is spliced from 3 exons. Lineage: Eukaryota; Metazoa; Chordata; Aves; Passeriformes; Pipridae.